RNAcentral lists this unclassified non-coding RNA (3312 nucleotides) under Hevea brasiliensis (rubber tree). The record is from RNAcentral. Lineage: Eukaryota; Viridiplantae; Streptophyta; Magnoliopsida; Malpighiales; Euphorbiaceae.
CUGUUGGUGAACAAUGUCAAAAAAUUGCUAUAAAAAAAAUGGAUAGAAGGGAAUUUGUGGGAACAAUAUUGAGCACUAUUAUUAAUUAAUAGUUAGCCCAAAGGCUAAUAAUCUAAAGGGCAUGAAGAUUUAAUUUCAUACAACAUUUCCAGGUUAUGCUAGCUUUGACAAGCUGGUUUAACCAGCUUCCCUGGAAAUGAUUGAUACACUGCACAAAUAUACUUAACAAGAAAACUUAUUUUUCCACGUUCAGUUCAUGAGAGUGUUCAAGAUGGACAUGGGGGCAGGGUCUUUCAGGUUCCCCUCGUGCCCACAAAACGUUGAGAUCACCUCUUUUCUUUCCCAAUGUCAGAAAGGUUCCAAGAGUGAAUGGGACAAUGUAGAGCAGUGCUGGUUGGCCAUGCCCAUCCAUCAAGUUCAAGGCCACAUAUGUAAUGAGAAGACCUAAUCCAUAAGCAAUCAUUGCCCACAAGAAGUAUCCAGCUCGAAGACUCUUAUUUGCCAACCAAUCAUACCUGCCACGAUGAUCAAUUCCAUUUAGCAUACAAAAGUUGCUGCUGGAUGAUAAUUUACUGUCUGAAACAGCUUACCAGAGGAUAAAGGUGGAACAGUAUGCCUCAUUGUUUUUCCACUUCUUAAAAAUAGCAAGAUCACAAUUACUUCUAUUUUAUGUGCAAAAGCAGAAAAGGAUUGCAUAUUUGAAAUGUUAUGAUAAAUUAACGACUUUGCAUUUAAGUGCCACUGCUAAUAUUCUGUCUCUUCUUUUCAUGCAUCUCAUAGGCAAUUGAAGCCUUUAAGACAACAAUGGAACUAUAAACAGAUAUCGUAACAACUGUAACACCACAGGCCCUAUUUUAAUAGUAACGUUAGGGCUUAUAUAAACCCUUUACUUUUUCUUUAAUGUGGAUGUUACAACCACAGCACUAUAGCAUUUUCCAAAUUUUACUUUUUUGAAGUUUGUAGGCAUAUUUUACCUGCAUGAAUGCGAGUAAAGCCAAUUAAUAAACAUCAAGCAAAAUACUGAACGUACGCCCUACAUCACUUCUAAGAAAACUGAAAAGCAGUUCUCUGGGAAAACAAUUUGUUGAUUACAGGAACAUAAAGUAGCUAUUUUAAUAUGUUCUGUGAAAAAGAAAAAAGAAAAACAAGGAGAAACAUAAGAUGCUUAGCAAAGUUCAUGCUUGCAAUUAUAAAGCCCAGUGAGGAAAACAUAUCAGGACAAGGAGAAAAAAGAGAAUGGAAGAACUAGCUGAGGUGCAGAAAUCUUAGCACAUAAAGGAAAAACAUUAAGUAUAAAUGCUAACCUAAGUGAGAAUGCUAUCACCAAUCCAGGUAGAAGGAUGUCGCCAAAUCCUAUAAUGCUGUAACCACCCCAGGGAUCAAACAUUCGUGGGAUCUUUAACAGCAUAGGGAUACCAUCCUCUCCACUUCUAUCACCGCGAGCCACCACAAUCAUGACACUUUCAUGGAACAAUUUCUUAGAAACAAACACCCAAAAGAUGUCAUACACGAACGCACAACUUAGAAGAACUGUACCCACCUUGAGGUUAGGUACAUGGACAAUUUGCAGAACUGUGAUUAUCAGUGCAAUUCCCUGAUUGAAGAACAAAUAAAAGGAAAAAGAUUAUUAGUUGAAUUGCCUAGCAUCUGUCUUACAAGAUCACUUCACCCAUAAAAGAGAUAAAAAUGAAAAAUUGGAAAAGGCCAUAUGCCUCCCCAUAUCUACUAAAUUGGCAUUGCUAAAUAUAGAAACCAAGACAAUUAAAACAUCAAGAAGAAAGCAGGGAUUCAAUGUAGAAAAGUUCUCUGAACACUGAAGUCCAUUAUAAUUUGUGAAAUUUUUUAAUCCAGCAACAAAGAAUUAAGUGAACUUAUCACUUGGUAAGUAAGACAUUAACUUUUACAUUCACUGUAACAAUUUAGUUCUGAGAAUUAUUAUUUGUAAGAGAGAGAGAGAGUAAAGGAGGAAAAUUCAAAUUUUAAAAAGCAGAAGAGAACUCAAAGCUUUCUGCGCAGGUAAAGAAAAAGUAACAAUAUGAUUAUCACUGAAUUAUCUUCAAAGGUCCAGCCCCCUUCUUUCUUUUCAAUAUAAUUUUCAUUCUAUAUAUAUAUAUACACACCAAAGAGUUUGGUCUUCACAUGAAGUCGGAAACAUCAAGCUCUCAUAUUUAUCAAGGAUAAUACUCAGGUUAAAAGCAGUUCAUAGCACAAGCUGGCUUAUCUGUAACCUAUUUGGCGUGGAAACAAAUAAACAAUAAACACCAGAAUGCAUUAAUGUGCUGGAGGAGGACUGAUAAUCUAAUUACUGGAAUCUUAGAUAAAUGUGGCAAAGUUAUGUAAAAGCAGGUGAAAAGAUGAGGAAAUAUGUCCUUACUAGUAUAUCUUGGCCUACCCAGGCAAAGGAGACAUUGCGAUAGACCGCCCAAACAACAGCAAAUGCUAUGCAGAAUGGUGAAACAGCCAAUGUUAGGUAUGAAAGAGGUCCAAAGAAGGGUAUUUUAAUGUAUGACUGUCCUGCAUGCUUGAACCACCUGUGCAAAUUAACACUGAAACUUUAGUUUCCAGCACCAAGAAUACCAAUUUCCUUGACAAAAGGCUAUAGAACUGACAUCCUUUAUUUAUGCAAUCUAACAGACAAGCAUAGAAUGAUAGAAGCAUAGACAUAAAAGCUAGUUUAUUAUUCUUCACCAAUAUCAUAUAUAGAUGUAUUAUCAUCUUGCUUCAACUUUUUAAACUCCCUUAAUACCAAAUAAAAAUUCCUUCACCAAGCAAUGUUUCAUGGUAGAUGUCCACUUUAAAGGGGUCAUAUAUAAGAUUUCACAUAUUUACCAAGUCAUCAUUUCAAGAACAUUGUAAAUGAAUGGCAGGAAAAUGCAGUCUUGGCGUAGUGGAAGUCAGCUAUCACAUUGCCAAAUCAGAUGAUGACCUAGGUAAGCCCAAUUAACUCAUUGCCUAAUCAUACUUUUCCUAUGAUCGCUCACCCUGCAUUGUAAUAAUUCUUUUCAGCACCCAUAUCAUAUUAGCAUUUUUAGCAGCCAUUCACACAGCAACUACUAUCUUAGGGUAACUGCCAUACAAAAAUAAGUUAUCGAUGGUGAUAAUUACAUAAAAUCUCCCAAACUACACCUUCAAAAACUUCAUUAUUUCAUAUAUUAUCCUUUCAUUGCUUUAUUUCACUGCUCUAUUUUACACAAUAUGAUUUACAACUCAAUCAUAUCAGAUUCUCUUCAAAGUGAAUCUUUUUCUCUUUGCAUAUGUAUGCUAUGCUUUUAGACUAAAUCAACUGCUCUCUGCAUCACUACUACAAUCUUU